CGCCUGAGCAGCACCGCCCCUCGGGGAUCGGAAGGCGUGGCACCGGAAGUGACGACACUGAGCACGCCAUUAAAAAGCAGUAGACCGACUUCCCCGCUCUCUCGGCCUUAGCGCCAUCUUCCUUGCAAAUUAACCGUAACUUUUCUCUCUUUUGCCGUAGACACCCCUGCGCCAUGAGAGCGAAGUGGAGGAAGAAGAGAAUGCGCAGACUGAAGCGCAAGAGAAGAAAGAUGAGGCAGAGGUCCAAGUAAACUCGCCUGCCCGCCCACGAAGGCCGCAGGAGCAGCAGUAAGGGACGCUGGAGGCCGGGACGCUGGGACAAGCUGGGCUGAGCUGCAGUCGGAGGAAGUCUCCGGACCCGCGACCUCGCCACCCGCUCGCAGAGGCCACCGAGAGACCGCCGCGCCCGCCGUCAUGACGGCAGCCCCGCUGGCCCUUUGCCCUGGACCUGUGGCGUUCCGGACUAGUUCUGUCCUCACUUGUGGCCAAUUGUAACCCGUGUACAAUAAACCAUCUUUGUCGCUGUCAGCUGAAGAAUGCAA
Long non-coding RNA from Chionomys nivalis (European snow vole), 542 nucleotides. RefSeq lists it as uncharacterized. The record is from RefSeq and is a predicted model, not a curated record. NCBI's taxonomy places the organism in Eukaryota, Metazoa, Chordata, Mammalia, Rodentia, Cricetidae. The transcript has 4 exons.